RNAcentral lists this ribosomal RNA (586 nucleotides) under uncultured bacterium. RNAcentral's name for it is "bacterial SSU rRNA". It matches the Rfam family "Bacterial small subunit ribosomal RNA", at positions 338 to 916 of the family's 1533-position model. The record is from RNAcentral.
CCUACGGGAGCAGCAGUGGGGAAUUUUGGACAAUGGGCGCAAGCCUGAUCCAGCAAUGCCGCGUGCAGGAUGAAGGCCUUCGGGUUGUAAACUGCUUUUGUACGGAACGAAAAAGUCUGCCCUAAUACGGUGGGCCCAUGACGGUACCGUAAGAAUAAGCACCGGCUAACUACGUGCCAGCAGCCGCGGUAAUACGUAGGGUGCGAGCGUUAAUCGGAAUUACUGGGCGUAAAGCGUGCGCAGGCGGUUAUAUAAGACAGAUGUGAAAUCCCCGGGCUCAACCUGGGACCUGCAUUUGUGACUGUAUAGCUAGAGUACGGUAGAGGGGGAUGGAAUUCCGCGUGUAGCAGUGAAAUGCGUAGAUAUGCGGAGGAACACCGAUGGCGAAGGCAAUCCCCUGGACCUGUACUGACGCUCAUGCACGAAAGCGUGGGGAGCAAACAGGAUUAGAUACCCUGGUAGUCCACGCCCUAAACGAUGUCAACUGGUUGUUGGGUCUUCACUGACUCAGUAACGAAGCUAACGCGUGAAGUUGACCGCCUGGGGAGUACGGCCGCAAGGUUGAAACGUCAAAUGAAAUUGACGG